RNAcentral lists this ribosomal RNA (464 nucleotides) under uncultured Methanomicrobiales archaeon. RNAcentral describes it as "bacterial SSU rRNA". It matches the Rfam family "Archaeal small subunit ribosomal RNA", at positions 875 to 1338 of the family's 1478-position model. The record is from RNAcentral. Lineage: Archaea; Methanobacteriati; Methanobacteriota; Methanomicrobia; Methanomicrobiales.
AGCACCACAACGGGUGGAGCCUGCGGUUUAAUUGGACUCAACGCCGGGCAGCUCACCGGAUAAGACAGCUGGAUGAUAGCCGGGCUGAAGACUCUGCUUGACUAGCUGAGAGGAGGUGCAUGGCCGUCGUCAGUUCGUACUGUGAAGCAUCCUGUUAAGUCAGGCAACGAGCGAGACCCACGCCAACAGUUGCCAGCUCGUCCUCCGGGAUGGUGGGGACACUGUUGGGACCGCCUCUGCUAAAGAGGAGGAAGGAAUGGGCAACGGUAGGUCAGCAUGCCCCGAAUUAUCUGGGCUACACGCGGGCUACAAUGGGUGGGACAAUGGGUAUCGACACCGAAAGGUGAAGGCAAUCUCCUAAACCCAUCCGUAGUUCGGAUUGUGGGCUGCAACUCGCCCACAUGAAGCUGGAAUCUGUGGUAAUCGUGUCUCAAAAUGGCACGGUGAAUAUGUCCCUGCUCCUU